AGCUAAUAGAUACCCCGGUAGUCCACGCCCUAAACGAUGUCUACUAGUUGUUGGUGGAGUAAAAUCCAUGAGUAAACGCAGCUAAACGCGUGAAGUAGACCGCCUGGGGAGUACGGUCGCAAGAUUAAAACUCAAAGGAGUUGACGGGGGCCCGCACAAGCGGUGGAUUAUGUGGAUUAAAUUCGAUGCAACGCGAAAAACCUUACCUGGCCUUGACAUGCCACUAACGAAGCAGAGAUGCAUUAGGUGCCCGUAAGGGAAAGUGGACACAGGUGCUGCAUGGCUGUCGUCAGCUCGUGUCGUGAGAUGUUGGGUUAAGUCCCGCAACGAGCGCAACCCUUGCCAUUAAUUGCCAUCAUUUAGUUGGGCACUUUAAUGGGACUGCCGGUGACAAACCGGAGGAAGGUGGGGAUGACGUCAAGUCCUCAUGGCCCUUAUGGCCAGGGCUUCACACGUAAUACAAUGGUCGGUACAGAGAGUUGCCAACCCGCGAGGGGAGCUAAUCUCAGAAAGCCGAUCGUAGUCCGGAUUGUUCU
Molecule: ribosomal RNA, 536 nt
Filed under: uncultured bacterium
Lineage: Bacteria
Description: bacterial SSU rRNA
Rfam family: Bacterial small subunit ribosomal RNA
Source: RNAcentral